UAGAGUGAGGGGGUGACUAGUGACAGAUUGAGGGAAGGAAGGGGUGACUAGUGACAGAGUGAGGGAGGUGGUGACUGUCACUAGUCACCACCUCCCUCAAUCUGUCACUAGUCACCACCUCCCUCUGUCACUACUCCCUCCCUCCUUCUGUCACUAGUCACCCCCUCCGUCCCUUACUCUGUCAGUAGUCACCCCCUCCCUCACUCUGUCACCAGUCAUCCCCUCCCUUUGUCACCUGUCACCCCCUCACUCUGUCACUAGUCACCCCCUCACUC
Molecule: non-coding RNA, 275 nt
Organism: Pelobates cultripes (western spadefoot toad)
Lineage: Eukaryota; Metazoa; Chordata; Amphibia; Anura; Pelobatidae
Source: the annotation of a GenBank genome assembly